RNAcentral lists this ribosomal RNA (734 nucleotides) under uncultured bacterium. RNAcentral's name for it is "bacterial SSU rRNA". It matches the Rfam family "Bacterial small subunit ribosomal RNA", at positions 54 to 790 of the family's 1533-position model. The record is from RNAcentral.
CAUGCAAGUCGAGCGGCAGCGCGGGGGCACCCUGGCGGCGAGCGGCGAACGGGUGAGUAACAUAUCGGAACGUACCCUAUCGUGGGGGAUAACACAUCGAAAGAUGUGCUAAUACCGCAUACGACCUGAGGGUGAAAGCGGGGGAUCGCAAGACCUCGCGCGACAGGAGCGGCCGAUAUCGGAUUAGCUAGUUGGUGGGGUAAAGGCUCACCAAGGCGACGAUCCGUAGCUGGUCUGAGAGGACGACCAGCCACACUGGAACUGAGACACGGUCCAGACUCCUACGGGAGGCAGCAGUGGGGAAUUUUGGACAACGGGGGCAACCCUGAUCCAGCCAUUCCGCGUGAGUGAAGAAGGCCUUCGGGUUGUAAAGCUCUUUCGGCAGGAACGAAACGGUAUGAGUUAAUACCUCAUGCCAAUGACGGUACCUGAAGAAGAAGCACCGGCUAACUACGUGCCAGCAGCCGCGGUAAUACGUAGGGUGCGAGCGUUAAUCGGAAUUACUGGGCGUAAAGCGUGCGCAGGCGGUUGUGUAAGACAGGUGUGAAAUCCCCGGGCUUAACCUGGGAACUGCGCUUGUGACUGCAUAACUCGAGUGUGGCAGAGGGGGGUGGAAUUCCACGUGUAGCAGUGAAACGCGUAGAGAUGUGGAGGAACACCGAUGGCGAAGGCAGCCCCCUGNGUCACACUGACGCUCAUGCACGAAGCGUGGUAGCAACAGGAUAGAUACCUGG